GCCGCCGUGGUGGAAUUGGCAGACACACCAGACUUAGGAUCUGGCGCUUCGGCAUGGGGGUUCAAGUCCCUCCGGCGGCACCA
This 83-nucleotide transfer RNA is filed under the name Bacteriovoracaceae bacterium. RNAcentral's name for it is "tRNA-Leu". It matches the Rfam family "tRNA". From Rfam's summary of the family: Transfer RNA (tRNA) molecules are approximately 80 nucleotides in length. Their secondary structure includes four short double-helical elements and three loops (D, anti-codon, and T loops). The record is from RNAcentral. Lineage: Bacteria; Pseudomonadati; Bdellovibrionota; Bacteriovoracia; Bacteriovoracales; Bacteriovoracaceae.